GUCUAGAUGACGAGUCUCAAAACAGGACGAAGUACGAGUCCUGGAU
This 46-nucleotide non-coding RNA is filed under the name Trichobilharzia regenti. Lineage: Eukaryota; Metazoa; Platyhelminthes; Trematoda; Strigeidida; Schistosomatidae. The record is from RNAcentral.